This 465-nucleotide ribosomal RNA is filed under the name uncultured bacterium. RNAcentral's name for it is "partial 16S ribosomal RNA". It matches the Rfam family "Bacterial small subunit ribosomal RNA", at positions 28 to 507 of the family's 1533-position model. The record is from RNAcentral.
GACGAACGCUGGCGGCGUGCUUAACACAUGCAAGUCGAACGGAAAGGCCCUGCUUGCAGGUUACUCGAGUGGCGAACGGGUGAGUAACACGUGGGUGAUCUGCCCUUCACUUCGGGAUACGCCUGGGAACCUGGGUCUAUUACCGGUUAGUCGCCAUUUUUAGUGUGAUGGUUGUACAGUUUUUUCGGUGUAGGAUGAGCUCGCGGCCUAUCAGCUUGUUGGUGGGGUAAUGGCCUACCAAGGCGGCGACGGGUAGCCGGCCUGAGAGGGUGGACGGCCACAUUGGGACUGAGAUACGGCCCAGACUCCUACGGGAGGAAGCAGUGGGGAAGAUUGCACAAGGGGCGCAAGCCUGAUGCAGCGACGCCGCGGGGGGGAUGACGGUCUUCGGGGUGUAAACGCCUUUCGCUAGGGACGAAGCUUUUUGUGACGGUACCUAGAUAAGAAGCACCGGCUAACUACGUG